UACGGAGGAUGCAAGCGUUAUCCGGAUUUAUUGGGUUUAAAGGGUGCGUAGGCGGAUGCCUAAGCGUGAGGUGAAAUCCCCGGGCUCAACCUGGGAACUGCCUCGCGAACUGGGUGUCUGGAAUGCCCCUGCCGUGGGAGGAAUGUGUGGUGUAGCGGUGAAAUGCAUAGAGAUCACACAGAACACCGAUUGCGAAGGCAUCUCACGAAGGGGUGAUUGACGCUGAGGCACGAAAGCGUGGGGAUCAAAC
RNAcentral lists this ribosomal RNA (250 nucleotides) under uncultured prokaryote. RNAcentral's name for it is "partial 16S ribosomal RNA". It matches the Rfam family "Bacterial small subunit ribosomal RNA", at positions 524 to 773 of the family's 1533-position model. The record is from RNAcentral.